RNAcentral lists this ribosomal RNA (412 nucleotides) under uncultured bacterium. Its description in RNAcentral is "bacterial SSU rRNA". It matches the Rfam family "Bacterial small subunit ribosomal RNA", at positions 355 to 787 of the family's 1533-position model. The record is from RNAcentral.
UGGGGAAUAUUGGGCAAUGGGCGCAAGCCUGACCCAGCAACGCCGCGUGAAGGAAGAAGGCUUUCGGGUUGUAAACUUCUUUCUGAGGGACGAUAGUGACGGUACCUCAGGAAUAAGCCACGGCUAACUACGUGCCAGCAGCCGCGGUAAUACGUAGGUGGCAAGUGUUAUCCGGAUUUACUGGUGUAAAGGGCGUGUAGGCGGGACUGCAAGUCAGAUGUGAAAACCAUGGGCUCAACUCAUGGCCUGCAUUUGAAACUGUAGUUCUUGAGUGUUGGAGAGGCAGGCGGAAUUCCGUGUGUAGCGGUGAAAUGCGUAGAUAUACGGAGGAACACCAGUGGCAAGGCGGCCUGCUGGACAAUAACUGACGCUGAGGCGCGAAAGCGUGGGGAGCAAACAGGAUUAGAUACCC